AGUGAACGCUGGCGGUAGGCCUAACACAUGCAAGUCGAACGGCAGCACAGUAAGAGCUUGCUCUUACGGGUGGCGAGUGGCGGACGGGUGAGGAAUCCAUCGGAAUCUACUUUUUCGUGGGGGAUAACGUAGGGAAACUUACGCUAAUACCGCAUACGACCUACGGGUGAAAGCAUGGGAUCUUCGGACCUUGCGCGAUUGAAUGAGCCGAUGUCGGAUUAGCUAGUUGGCGGGGUAAAGGCCCACCAAGGCGACGAUCCGUAGCUGGUCUGAGAGGAUGAUCAGCCACACUGGAACUGAGACACGGUCCAGACUCCUACGGGAGGCAGCAGUGGGGAAUAUUGUACAAUGGGCGCAAGCCUGAUCCAGCCAUACCGCGUGGGUGAAGAAGGCCUUCGGGUUGUAAAGCCCUUUUGUUGGGAAAGAAAAGCAGCAGGUUAAUACCCCGCUGUUCUGACGGUACCCAAAGAAUAAGCACCGGCUAACUUCGUG
Molecule: ribosomal RNA, 492 nt
Filed under: uncultured bacterium
Lineage: Bacteria
Description: partial 16S ribosomal RNA
Rfam family: Bacterial small subunit ribosomal RNA
Source: RNAcentral